This 484-nucleotide ribosomal RNA is filed under the name uncultured bacterium. Its description in RNAcentral is "partial 16S ribosomal RNA". It matches the Rfam family "Bacterial small subunit ribosomal RNA", at positions 30 to 507 of the family's 1533-position model. The record is from RNAcentral.
AUUGAACGCUGGCGGCAUGCCUUACACAUGCAAGUCGAACGGCAGCACGGACUUCGGUCUGGUGGCGAGUGGCGAACGGGUGAGUAAUGUAUCGGAACGUACCUUUCAGUGGGGGAUAACGUAGCGAAAGUUACGCUAAUACCGCAUAUUCUGUGAGCAGGAAAGCAGGGGAUCGAAAGACCUUGCGCUGAUUGAGCGGCCGAUAUCAGAUUAGCUAGUUGGUGGGGUAAAGGCCUACCAAGACGACGAUCUGUAGCGGGUCUGAGAGGAUGAUCCGCCACACUGGAACUGAGACACGGUCCAGACUCCUACGGGAGGCAGCAGUGGGGAAUUUUGGACAAUGGGGGCAACCCUGAUCCAGCCAUGCCGCGUGAGUGAAGAAGGCCUUCGGGUUGUAAAGCUCUUUCGGCCGGGAAGAAAUCGCAUAGGCUAAUACCCUGUGUGGAUGACGGUACCGGAAUAAGAAGCACCGGCUAACUACGUG